AUUGAACGCUGGCGGCAGGCCUAACACAUGCAAGUCGAGCGGAUGAAGGGAGCUUGCUCCUGGAUUCAGCGGCGGACGGGUGAGUAAUGCCUAGGAAUCUGCCUGGUAGUGGGGGAUAACGUCCGGAAACGGGCGCUAAUACCGCAUACGUCCUGAGGGAGAAAGUGGGGGAUCUUCGGACCUCACGCUAUCAGAUGAGCCUAGGUCGGAUUAGCUAGUUGGUGGGGUAAAGGCCUACCAAGGCGACGAUCCGUAACUGGUCUGAGAGGAUGAUCAGUCACACUGGAACUGAGACACGGUCCAGACUCCUACGGGAGGCAGCAGUGGGGAAUAUUGGACAAUGGGCGAAAGCCUGAUCCAGCCAUGCCGCGUGUGUGAAGAAGGUCUUCGGAUUGUAAAGCACUUUAAGUUGGGAGGAGGGGCAGUAAGUUAAUACCUUGCUGUUUUGACGUUACCAACAGAAUAGGCACCGGCUAACUUCGUG
RNAcentral lists this ribosomal RNA (484 nucleotides) under uncultured bacterium. Its description in RNAcentral is "partial 16S ribosomal RNA". It matches the Rfam family "Bacterial small subunit ribosomal RNA", at positions 30 to 507 of the family's 1533-position model. The record is from RNAcentral.